GUGGAAAAUUAAACGGCACUACAUUAGAAAAGUCACCCACAUCCAUGGAAAGAUAAGGGAUCCACGGAGGAAAUGGGAAAAAAACUCUUGGCACAAAAAGAGAGUAAAUGGACAGAAGUACUAAAAAUAAAAACUCCCAUGGGCUUGAAUGAGGUCAACAGUUUUGUCCCCUUCUUAACAGAGAUUACCAUUAGCUCUCCAUUCUGUCUCAUGACAGUGCGUAGCAGAACACUCUUCUCUGUGAUGUCCAUGUACUCUAAAAGGAUUUAUGAACUGGAGCCGUCUUCAUGAAACAACUACUUUAAAA
Long non-coding RNA from Hyla sarda, 307 nucleotides. RefSeq lists it as uncharacterized. The record is from RefSeq and is a predicted model, not a curated record. NCBI's taxonomy places the organism in Eukaryota, Metazoa, Chordata, Amphibia, Anura, Hylidae. The transcript is spliced from 3 exons.